This 298-nucleotide ribosomal RNA is filed under the name uncultured eukaryote. Its description in RNAcentral is "partial 18S ribosomal RNA". It matches the Rfam family "Eukaryotic small subunit ribosomal RNA", at positions 1470 to 1796 of the family's 1831-position model. The record is from RNAcentral.
UCCUUAGACACUCUAGGCGGCACGCGCGCUACAAUGGGCGGGAGAACGUGUUACUGCCACUGAAAAGUGGGGUGAAUCACGAAUCCUUGCCCGUGAAUGGGAUAGUUUGUUGCAAUUUUCGGACUUGAACUAGGAAUCCCUUGUAAGCAUGCUCAAGAAUAGCGUGUUGAAUACGUCCCUGCCGUUUGUACACACCGCCCGUCGUUUCUUCCGACUGAUACUCAUUGUGAGUUGCAAGGAUCCUUUAUUGGAAAAUUGCCGCGAAUGCUUUGUAUUGGAGGAAGAAAAAGUCGUAACA